AGUGGAUAUGAGAAGAAUUCUUCAUGCUUUAGAGUUGAGGCUGGUGAAGAAGGGCAGAAGGAUCUGCUGACUGGACUGACAUAUGGGACAGCAUGGGGUUUCCUGCAAUCUGAUCAGUUGUCUGCCUUUCCAUACUAUCUGAGAGGUCCCAAAGCCACUCCUGUUGCUGAUGCAAAAACUUCUUACGUCUUCUGCUGGCUUGCUAGGCUCAACCAGGACUGCAUUUUGCUCCAGGCUGAAUGUUUCUCCAACCUCCAGGCAGAUUUUGCCUGGUGACCUCCUAAAUUGUCUUGGACUGGAAAAUUGUUCAUAUCCUUUUUCUGGUUCCUCAGCUCCAGAAUUUAAUUUGAGGAUACAACUUCAAGUUUUCUGCUCUUGCUUCUGA
Molecule: long non-coding RNA, 385 nt
Filed under: Monodelphis domestica (gray short-tailed opossum)
Lineage: Eukaryota; Metazoa; Chordata; Mammalia; Didelphimorphia; Didelphidae
Description: lncRNA (ENSMODG00000048332.1)
Source: RNAcentral